Apis mellifera (honey bee) is the source of this 129-nucleotide non-coding RNA. NCBI's taxonomy places the organism in Eukaryota, Metazoa, Arthropoda, Insecta, Hymenoptera, Apidae. The record is from RefSeq and is marked provisional.
CUAUUUCACAAGUUGGAUUAAAAUUUUAAGUGAAUUUUUCUAAGUUUCUUAUCUAACAAUAAGUCAUUGUACGUUCUUUCUUGAAAAAUUACUUAAGAUUGUCAGUUAAUUAUUUUUUUGAAAAAUUGG